This 254-nucleotide ribosomal RNA is filed under the name uncultured bacterium. Its description in RNAcentral is "partial 16S ribosomal RNA". It matches the Rfam family "Bacterial small subunit ribosomal RNA", at positions 524 to 776 of the family's 1533-position model. The record is from RNAcentral.
UACGUAGGGACCAAGCGUUGUUCGGAUUUACUGGGCGUAAAGGGCGCGUAGGCGGCGUGACAAGUCACUUGUGAAAUCUCCGGGCUUAACUCGGAACGGUCAAGUGAUACUGUUGUGCUAGAGUACAGAAGGGGCAAUCGGAAUUCUUGGUGUAGCGGUGAAAUGCGUAGAUAUCAGGAGGAACACCGGUGGCGAAGGCGGGUCUCUGGGCCGAUACUGACGCUGGAGGAGCGAAAGCGUGGGGAGCGAACAGG